GACGAACGCUGGCGGCGUGCUUAACACAUGCAAGUCGAACAGAAAGGCCCUGCUUUUGUGGGGUGCUCGAGUGGCGAACGGGUGAGUAACACGUGAGUAACCUGCCCUUGACUUUGGGAUAACUUCAGGAAACUGGGGCUAAUACCGGAUAGGAGCUCCUGCUGCAUGGUGGGGGUUGGAAAGUUUCGGCGGUUGGGGAUGGACUCGCGGCUUAUCAGCUUGUUGGUGGGGUAGUGGCUUACCAAGGCUUUGACGGGUAGCCGGCCUGAGAGGGUGACCGGCCACAUUGGGACUGAGAUACGGCCCAGACUCCUACGGGAGGCCGCAGUGGGGAAUAUUGCACAAUGGGCGGAAGCCUGAUGCAGCAACGCCGCGUGCGGGAUGACGGCCUUCGGGUUGUAAACCGCUUUCGCCUGUGACGAAGCGUGAGUGACGGUAAUGGGUAAAGAAGCACCGGCUAACUACGUG
This 468-nucleotide ribosomal RNA is filed under the name uncultured bacterium. RNAcentral describes it as "partial 16S ribosomal RNA". It matches the Rfam family "Bacterial small subunit ribosomal RNA", at positions 28 to 507 of the family's 1533-position model. The record is from RNAcentral.